Molecule: ribosomal RNA, 465 nt
Filed under: uncultured bacterium
Lineage: Bacteria
Description: partial 16S ribosomal RNA
Rfam family: Bacterial small subunit ribosomal RNA
Source: RNAcentral
GACGAACGCUGGCGGCGUGCUUAACACAUGCAAGUCGAUCGGUAAGGCUCCAGCUUGCUGGGGUACACGAGUGGCGAACGGGUGAGUAACACGUGGGUGACCUGCCCUGCACUUCGGGAUAAGCCUUGGAAACUGGGUCUAAUACCGGAUAGGACCUCACCGAGCGGGUGGGGCGGUAAGUUUGUUCGGUGUGGGUUGGGCUCGCGGCCUAUGCGCUUGUUGGUGGGGUAAUGGCCGACCAAGCCGGCGACCGGUAGCCGGCCUGGGAGGGUGGACGGCCACCUUGGGACUGAGGCACGGAGCAGACUCCUACGGGAGGCAGCAGGGGGGAAUAUUGCACAAUGGGCGGGAGCCUGAUGCAGCGGCGCCGCGUGGGGGAUGACGGCCUUCGGGGUGUAAACACCUUUCUCCAUCGACGAAGGGUUUCUGACGGUAGCUGGAGAAGAAGCACCGGCUAACUACGUG